CAUAGAACAGGUACAGCACAGACAUCGGCACUUCAUGCUUCCCUGCUCUGCCCCUCCUUUGUGCUCCUCUUGAUCUGGAAGGACCAUUUUUAGG
Molecule: small RNA, 94 nt
Filed under: Gopherus agassizii (Agassiz's desert tortoise)
Lineage: Eukaryota; Metazoa; Chordata; Testudines; Testudinidae
Description: TUC338 (ENSGAGG00000023002.1)
Source: RNAcentral